Molecule: ribosomal RNA, 253 nt
Filed under: uncultured bacterium
Lineage: Bacteria
Description: partial 16S ribosomal RNA
Rfam family: Bacterial small subunit ribosomal RNA
Source: RNAcentral
UACAGAGGGUGCAAGCGUUGUUCGGAAUUAUUGGGCGUAAAGGGCGCGUAGGCGGUGCGGUAAGUCUGUAGUGAAAUCUCUGGGCUCAACUCAGAGUCUGCUGCAGAAACUGCCGUGCUCGAGUGUGGGAGAGGUGAGUGGAAUUCCCGGUGUAGCGGUGAAAUGCGUAGAUAUCAGGAGGAACACCCAUGGCGAAGGCAGCUCGCUGGCCUACAACUGACGCUGAGGCGCGAAAGCGUGGGGAGCAAACAGG